CAAUAGCGUAUAUUAAAGUUGUUGCAGUUAAAAGCUCGUAGUUGGAUUUCGGAGUGGGCCCAGUUGGUCCGCCGCAAGGUGUGUUACUGACUGGUUUUGCUCUUCUUCGCAAAGACUGCGUGUGCCCUUAAAUGAGUGUGCGUAGAAUUUUACGAUCAGUUUACUUUUGAAAAAAUUUAAGAGUGUUCAAAAGCAGGCUAUUGCUUGAAUACAUGAGCAUGGAAUAAUGGAAUAGGACUUUGGUCCCCAUUUUUGUUGGUUUCUAGGGCCGAAGUAAUGAUUAAGAGGGACAAUUGGGGGCAUCCGUAUUUCGUUGUCAGAGGUGAAAUUCUUGGAUUUACGAAAGACGAACAACUGCGAAAGCACUUGCCAAGAGUGUUUUCAUUAAUCAAGAACGAAAGUUAGAGGAUCGAAGA
RNAcentral lists this ribosomal RNA (416 nucleotides) under uncultured eukaryote. Its description in RNAcentral is "SSU rRNA". It matches the Rfam family "Eukaryotic small subunit ribosomal RNA", at positions 592 to 1004 of the family's 1831-position model. The record is from RNAcentral.